RNAcentral lists this ribosomal RNA (468 nucleotides) under uncultured bacterium. RNAcentral's name for it is "partial 16S ribosomal RNA". It matches the Rfam family "Bacterial small subunit ribosomal RNA", at positions 28 to 507 of the family's 1533-position model. The record is from RNAcentral.
GACGAACGCUGGCGGCGUGCUUAACACAUGCAAGUCGAACGGAAAGGCCCUGCUUUUGUGGGGUGCUCGAGUGGCGAACGGGUGAGUAACACGUGAGUAACCUGCCCUUGACUUUGGGAUAACUUCAGGAAACUGGGGCUAAUACCGGAUAGGAGCUCCGGCUGCAUGGUGGGGGUUGGAAAGUUUCGGCGGUUGGGGAUGGACUCGCGGCUUAUCAGCUUGUUGGUGGGGUAGUGGCUUACCAAGGCUUUGACGGGUAGCCGGCCUGAGAGGGUGACCGGCCACAUUGGGACUGAGACACGGCCCAGACUCCUACGGGAGGCAGCAGUGGGGAAUAUUGCACAAUGGGCGGAAGCCUGAUGCAGCAACGCCGCGUGCGGGAUGACGGCCUUCGGGUUGUAAACCGCUUUCGGCUGGGAAGAAGCGUGAGUGACGGUAAUUGGUAAAGAAGCACCGGCUAACUACGUG